GCACCGACCCGCAUCGACCCCCCCUCGGGGCUGCGCUGCCGCUGCCCCCCCGCGCCCCCCCCGGAGCCUCGCUCUGAUUGGACACCGCCCCCCCCCCCCGGCCCCCCCCAGCAAGGGGGGGCCCCAGGGCCCGAUCCAGCGCCUGCGGCUGCUCAACACCCUCACGGGGCAACAGGCCACAGUGCAGUCGGACAGUGUUCGCGGGCCCCUGCAGGGGGCGCUGUUGUGGAACGCGCACGCCGGCGGCUACGCGUGGCGGAGCGGGGGCGCCCCCUUGCGGCCGGAGGACCCGCUGCCGCCCGCCCCCCCCGCCGAGCCCGGGUCCCCCCCCCGGGUCCCCCCCCACGGCGCUGCUCUACUUCGCCGAUGACUUCGUGGAGAUCUGAACGCACCCUCAGGACCGGCUCUUGGAGACACCGGGGUGGGGGGGUCCCCUCGGGGGGGGGUCCCCCCCCAGUUUUGGGGGGAGCGAGCGGAAAUAAACCCCCGUUAUGGGACGUAC
RNAcentral lists this long non-coding RNA (502 nucleotides) under Strigops habroptila (Kakapo). Its description in RNAcentral is "lncRNA (ENSSHBG00005000914.1)". The record is from RNAcentral. Lineage: Eukaryota; Metazoa; Chordata; Aves; Psittaciformes; Psittacidae.